This 75-nucleotide transfer RNA is filed under the name Caudoviricetes sp. Its description in RNAcentral is "tRNA-Gln". It matches the Rfam family "tRNA". Rfam says of the family: Transfer RNA (tRNA) molecules are approximately 80 nucleotides in length. The record is from RNAcentral. Lineage: Duplodnaviria; Heunggongvirae; Uroviricota; Caudoviricetes.
UGGAGUUUCGUUCAACGGUUAGGACAUGGGACUUUGACUCCCAAAAUAAUAGUUCGAGUCUAUUAACUCCAGCCA